GCCACGGUGGUCUAGCGGUUAGAACGCUGGUCUUGUAAUCCUGGGGUCUCGUGUUCGAUUCCCGGCGGUGCCC
Molecule: non-coding RNA, 73 nt
Organism: Zootermopsis nevadensis
Lineage: Eukaryota; Metazoa; Arthropoda; Insecta; Blattodea; Termopsidae
Source: Rfam